Molecule: ribosomal RNA, 460 nt
Filed under: uncultured bacterium
Lineage: Bacteria
Description: partial 16S ribosomal RNA
Rfam family: Bacterial small subunit ribosomal RNA
Source: RNAcentral
CCUACGGGUGGCAGCAGUGAGGAAUAUUGGUCAAUGGGCGGACGCCUGAACCAGCCAAGUAGCGUGCAGGAUGACGGCCCUACGGGUUGUAAACUGCUUUUAUACGGGAAUAACGCGCCUUACGUGUAGGGCUUUGCAUAUACCGUAUGAAUAAGGACCGGCUAAUUCCGUGCCAGCAGCCGCGGUAAUACGGCAGGUCCGGGCGUUCUCCGGAUUUCUUGGGUUUGAAGGGAGCGUCGGCCGCAGUGCAAGCGUGCUGUGAAAUUUCCGGGCUCAACCCGGGCCUUGCAGCGAUAACUGGCGUGCUUGAGUCCGCGGAAAGCAGGCGGAAUUCGUCGUGUAGCGGUGAAAUGCUUAGAUAUGACGAAGAACCCCGAUUGCGAAGGCAGCUUGCUGCAGCGGAACUGACGCUGAUGCUCGAAAGCGUGGGUAUCGAACAGGAUUAGAUACCCGUGUAGUC